Molecule: ribosomal RNA, 548 nt
Filed under: uncultured Glomus
Lineage: Eukaryota; Fungi; Glomeromycota; Glomeromycetes; Glomerales; Glomeraceae
Description: SSU rRNA
Rfam family: Eukaryotic small subunit ribosomal RNA
Source: RNAcentral
UUGGAGGGCAAGUCUGGUGCCAGCAGCCGCGGUAAUUCCAGCUCCAAUAGCGUAUAUUAAAGUUGCUGCAGUUAAAAAGCUCGUAGUUGAAUUUCGGGACCAUCAUGUCGGUCGUGCCUCGGUACGUACUGGUAUUGUUGGUUUCUCCCUUCUGACGAACCAUGAUGUCAUUUAUUUGGUGUUGUGGGGAAUCAGGACUGUUACUUUGAAAAAAUUGGAGUGUUUAAAGCAGGCUCACGCUUGAAUACAUUAGCAUGGAAUAAUGAAAUAGGACGUUUGAUUCUAUUUUGUUGGUUUCUAGGAUCGACGUAAUGAUUAAUAGGGAUAGUUGGGGGCAUUAGUAUUCAAUUGUCAGAGGUGAAAUUCUUGGAUUUAUUGAAGACUAACUACUGCGAAAGCAUUUGCCAAGGAUGUUUUCAUUAAUCAAGAACGAAAGUUAGGGGAUCGAAGACGAUCAGAUACCGUCGUAGUCUUAACCAUAAACUAUGCCGACUAGGGAUCGGAUGAUGUUAAUUUUUUAAUGACUCAUUCGGCGCCUUACGGGAAAC